UUGAACGCUGGCGGAAUGCUUUACACAUGCAAGUCGAGCGGCAGCGCGGGGCAACCUGGCGGCGAGCGGCGAACGGGUGAGUAAUACAUCGGAACGUACCCAGUUGUGGGGGAUAGCCCGGCGAAAGCCGGAUUAAUACCGCAUACGACCUGAGGGUGAAAGCGGGGGAUCGCAAGACCUCGCGCAGUUGGAGCGGCCGAUGGCGGAUUAGCUAGUUGGUGGGGUAAAGGCUCACCAAGGCGACGAUCCGUAGCUGGUCUGAGCGGACGACCAGCCACACUGGAACUGAGACACGGUCCAGACUCCUACGGGAGGCAGCAGUGGGGAAUUUUGGACAAUGGGGGAAACCCUGAUCCAGCCAUUCCGCGUGAGUGAAGAAGGCCUUCGGGUUGUAAAGCUCUUUCGGCAGGAACGAAACGGUCUUUUCUAAUACAAGAGGCUAAUGACGGUACCUGAAGAAGAAGCACCGGCUAACUACGU
This 480-nucleotide ribosomal RNA is filed under the name uncultured bacterium. RNAcentral describes it as "bacterial SSU rRNA". It matches the Rfam family "Bacterial small subunit ribosomal RNA", at positions 29 to 506 of the family's 1533-position model. The record is from RNAcentral.